This 2841-nucleotide long non-coding RNA is filed under the name Homo sapiens (human). RNAcentral's name for it is "HSALNT0213689". The record is from RNAcentral. Lineage: Eukaryota; Metazoa; Chordata; Mammalia; Primates; Hominidae.
CAUGUAUCCCAGAAUUUAAAGUACAAUUAAAAAAAUUAAUAAACAGGAAGGGUAAAAAAUAUAAACAGAGAAAGUUUCUGUUUCAAUUUGAUGAUAUGGUGGUAUCACAUAGACUGAUAAGCCAGGUGCAUAUAAUACCCAGAGGAACUACUGAAAGCUUACACAAAGAGUUUUACUCAAAAACACAUGAUAAAUCAAAAUGUAAUUCUAAAGACUAUUCAAAUAACCCAAAGGAAGGAAGGCAUAUUAGUCUGUUCUCACACUGCUAAUAAAUACAUACCUGAGACUGGGUAAUUUAUAAAGAAAGAGGUUUAAUGAACUCACAGUUCCACAUGGCUGGGGAGGCCUCACAAUCAUGGCAGAAGGCAAGGAGGAGCAAAGUCACGUCUUACACGGCAGCAGGCAAGAGAGUUUGUGUAGGGGAACUCCCCUUAUAAAACCAUCGGAUCUCAUGAGACUUAUUCACUAUCACCAGAACAGCAUGGGAAAGACCUGCCCCCAUGAUUUAAUUAUCUCUCACCGUGUCCCUCCCAGAACAAAUGGAAAUUAUGGAAGCUACAAUUCAAGGUGAGAUUUGGGUGGGGACAGAGCCAAACCAUAUCAGCAGGGAAAAAAAAAAAAAAAAAAGAGGCAGAGGAGAGAAAAUACAGAACAUAGACAGAAAAAAAGGCAGACUUAAAUCCUAACACAUCAGUAAUUAUAUUACAUAAAAAUGGUUUAAAUAUACCAAUUAAAAGACGGAGAUCGUUAGAGUGAAUUAAAGAACAUGGCCCGAUGUUAUGCUAUCUACAGAAAACUCACCUAAAGUGUAAUGAUAUAGGUUAGGUAUUAUAUCGUGAAAGUAAAAAUAUAUCAUGCAAAUAUUAGAUCAAAUUCAAAAUUAGAGUUAGAAAUCCCAAUAUCACUCUCUCAAAAAUUGACAGAAAAACUUGACAGAAAACCAUCAAGAAUAUGUAGAAGCAUAAAUAUAACAAAAAAACCUAUAAAUAGAAACUAAAUAAACCCUUCUAAAUAAUCCAUGAGUCAAAGAAAAGUUCUCAAGGGAGGUUUAAAAAUACCAGGAAUUGGAUAAAAAUGAAAACAGCUAGGCACAGUGGCUCAUGCCUGUGAUCCCAGAGCUUUGGGAGGCUGAGGCAAGAGGAUCACUUGAGCCCGGAAGGUUGAGACCAGCCUGGGAAACACAGUGAGAUCCCUUCUCUAUAAAAAUUUGUAAAAAUGAUUAGCUGGGUGUAGUGGCUUGCACCUAUAGUCCUAGCUACUUGGGAGGCUGAGGCAGAAGGAUCACUUCACUUGAGCCCAGGAGUUGGUGGCUAUGUUCUCAGUGAGCUGGUUGGGCCAUUGCACUCUAGUCUGAGUAACAGUGAGACACUGUCACAAAAAAAAAAAAAAAAAAAAAAAGGUGGGGGGGGGAGGAAAAGAAAAAGAAAAUAUCACAAAAAUGUCAUAUAUCAAAAUUUGUAGGACAAAGCUGAUGCAGUUCUGAGAGGAAAAUUUAUGAAACUAAAUGCAUGCAUUUGAAAAGAGGAAAAGUCUCAAAUGAAUACCCUAUGCUCCCACCUCAAGAACCUUAAAAAAAAACAAAAAACCAGCAAGCAGAAGUAAUAAAGAUAAGAACAAAAAUCAAUGAAAUUGAGAACAGGAGACAAUAGAGAACAAGAGGGAAAAAAAAGUCAAUGAAACAAUGAGCUGGUUCCUUACAAAGUUCAAUAAAAUUGACAAACCUUUACCAAGAUUGACAGAGAAAGAGAGACGGGGCAGGGAACAAGGGAGGGUGAAGAGAAAACACAAUUACCAACGUUAGGAAUGAAGAUAUUCCUAUAGGUCCUGCUGAUAUGAGAAGGAUUUUAAGGGAAGACUGCAAACAACCUUACAAACAUAAAUUUGAUAAUUUAGAAGAUAUGGAACACAAAGUACCAUAACUUACCCAAUGUAAAAUACCUAAUUUAAAUAGCCUUGUAACUAUUCAGAACAAUAGAUGUGUAAUUUUAAAACUUGCAGAACAAAAAUCUCCAGGUCCAAUGGUUUCACUAAUAACUUUUACCAAAUGUUCAAAGAAGAAUUGGUACCAGUUUAUACAAUUUCUUUCAGAAAACAGAAGAAAAUGAAAUAUUUCCCAUUUAUUUUAUUUAGCCUAUUUCAAUACCAAAAACAAUAGACAAUUGUCCCUCAAAAAAACAAAGAAAGAAAGAAAAGAAAGAAAAGAAAAAAAAAAACCGCAGCUUUCUCCUGAGCAUAGAAAACACAUCUUUUUUAAAUAAUUAGCAAAUAGAAUUUAGCAACUUAUAAUAAGAAUUAUGUAACAUGACCAUGUUGCACUUAUUCUAGGGAUACAAAGUUGGUUCAGUAUUUGAAAAUCAAUGUAAUCCAUUAUCUUAACAGGCUGAAGAUAAACAAAAAUCACAGGAUCAUAUCAAUCAAUGAAUAACAAGUAUUUGACAAAAUUCAUUGACCAUUUAUGAUAAAAAUAAACUCAGAAAAAGGAACUAGAAGGGAAUUCCUCAGCUACAAAAAAAAAAAAAAAAAAAACAAAACCCUAUGGCUAGCAUUAUGCUAAAUGGUGAAAGACUGAAAUGUUUUCCAUUUAAGAUGAGAAAUAAGACAAGAAUACCUACUCUCACAAUUCUUAUUCAUCAUAGUACAGGAAGUUCUAUAAUACAAUGAAGAAAAGAAAAUAAAGGCAUAGAGAUUGGAAGCAAAGAAAAAAAGUGUCCGUAUUUGCAGAUAGCAUGGUUGUCAUCAUGAAAAAAAAUCCCAAAGAAUCUACAAAACAAAACAACAAUAAAAGCCCACCUCAAACAACCAACAAGUGAAUUCAGCAAGGUCACAAAAUACAAGAUAAAU